UAACUCUGGUUGAUCCUGCCAGAGGGCACCGCUAUUGGUAUUCGCUUAAGCCAUGCGAGUCGAGAGGUGAAAGACCUCGGCAUACCGCUCAGUAACACGCGGAUAAUCUGCCCUAAGGCGGAGGAUAAUCUCGGGAAACUGAGAAUAAUACUCCAUAGAUCUGGGAUGCUGGAAUGCCCCCAGGUCGAAAUCCACGGAGCCUUAGGAUGAGUCUGCGGCCCAUUAGGUUGUAGUGGGGGUAACGGCCCCACUAGCCCGCGAUGGGUACGGGUGUUGGGAGACAUUGCCCGGAGAUGGAUUCUGAGACAUGAAUCCAGGUCCUACGGGAUGCAG
Molecule: ribosomal RNA, 333 nt
Filed under: Thermoplasmata archaeon HGW-Thermoplasmata-2
Lineage: Archaea; Methanobacteriati; Thermoplasmatota; Thermoplasmata
Description: bacterial SSU rRNA
Rfam family: Archaeal small subunit ribosomal RNA
Source: RNAcentral